AACAGACGCCGUAAGGCCGCUGCUGCUUGAGCACUGUGAACAGUGGCAGCAGGCAGCCGUGUUGGACCUGUUGCAAUCCUAUUGGACACGCUUUGCGGGGGCGGCGCGUGUCACGAUACGUGCGUGGGCGAUACGGGCGGCCGAACAACAGCAUCAGCGGACGGAUGGAAAGCAGCAGGCUGGGCAGGCGGCGGAGGGCGGGAAGGGCAGCAGCACGAGCAGCCUUGGCGACAGCACAGCACAGCAGCGGCAGGCGCCACCGCCCGAGCUAGUGCUGCAGUGCUUGACGCCGCUGCCGAUGCAGCAGCUGGCAGCGGUGCACGGGCGGCAGGACAUGGUGGAUUACCUGGACGCAGUAGCUAAGGGUUUGAGAGGGGAAAUGAUGAUUGAGUGCGGCAGUGCCGGCGCCGGCGGAAGCGGCAUGGGGGUGCAAGGGCCUGCCAGCAUGGAGGGCGGCGCGUCGCACGCUAGCGCCACGGCGGAUAGGUUGAGGGCGAAGUGGGUUGGCGCCGUGCGGCCGCGGUACCCGUGGCUGUUGUCUCAAGGCCAGGCACAGGCGGGGCUGCAUGACCUGAUGGUCGCAGAGGCGGCGGCUGCAGCGGCAGCUACUGCUACGGGCGAGCCCUCAGUAGCCUGCGGCGGCGGUGGCAGCAGCGGGAGCAGUAGCAGGAGCAGUAGUGGGCAGGGCAGCAGCAGCGAUGGGCCGGUAUUUGAGCACAAGCUGUGCUACAACCCGCGCUGCUGCUCGCUGGACGGCCCCAGCGCGUUGGUUGCGCCCCGCGGCGGCAAGACGUGUGUGCGGUGCCGUGCUGCCACGUAUUGCUGCGGCGCUUGCCAGCUUGUGGACUGGCGUGAGCGGCACUCUGGCACCUGCAGUGGAGCCGCCGCGGCGGCGGCAGGGUCAGCAGGGACAGCGAAGGCAGCGCUGAAGAAGGCAUGAAUGCUACGGGCGAGCCCUCAGUAGCCUGCGGCGGCGGUGGCAGCAGCGGGAGCAGUAGCAGGAGCAGUAGUGGGCAGGGCAGCAGCAGCGAUGGGCCGGUAUUUGAGCACAAGCUGUGCUACAACCCGCGCUGCUGCUCGCUGGACGGCCCCAGCGCGUUGGUUGCGCCCCGCGGCGGCAAGACGUGUGUGCGGUGCCGUGCUGCCACGUAUUGCUGCGGCGCUUGCCAGCUUGUGGACUGGCGUGAGCGGCACUCUGGCACCUGCAGUGGAGCCGCCGCGGCGGCGGCAGGGUCAGCAGGGACAGCGAAGGCAGCGCUGAAGAAGGCAUGAACUGACGAAGUGCAACAGCAGUAUGGACCCGAAGACUGCGCUUCAAAUGCGGCGUUUUGCGGUUUGUAUGAGAGUGAGAGUGCGAUGCAUGGCGUGGACUCUUGGGUCGUUUGCCACGCCGAGCGUGCAGCAAGAAGCGCUCAAAAAGCCCAAUUGGCUCUGCUUUGCAUUAGCGCAUUACGGUUGAUGACCGCUGACGCGGGUGGUCCGCGCCUUCAUCGGCCGGGAUUACAGAGCGGACUCCACACCGAAUGUAUGAGUGCCAGACCUGCGAUGCUAAUCUUACUUCGCCAAGGCUAGCCUCCUCGCUCCUUUGAGGCUUGAUACCGUAUCAAGGUUUUGGGCAGGAGUAGGGGCAUCAUGAGCGGCGGCGGGGUAACAGGGUGGGGUACAGGCUGCAGUGUUGUUCGGGUUUGGGCGCGUUCUAGGCAUGUGGCACCCGUAUGUGGCAGAGCAAUUUGACUGUCCCCAACAUGUUUAUGUGCCCGCCGAGAAUGCUAAGCUGACGGUCUGAACUUCGCGGUUUUUGUAGUUGCACGACUGUAUGUCAUUAGAGUUUCGGCCAUUGUCGCAGGUGCAGGCGCAGUGCAGUAGAAUGCAGGGGCGUGGGCGAGGAGGAGAGGGCUGACGGACAACUGGAGGCCGUGAUGCGGCGGUAGAUACGGUAGGUACAGGACUGGGAGGCGCACCAAAUGCAUGACUGACUUACCAGUGCACGGCUGAACGCGAUGGCUACAUGUGCGGACUGCGGACGGGCUUGGAACAUCAGCUUAUGAAUGAGGGACGGUGCACUGUUGCCGACGCAUUCGGCCUAUCACGGCAUGCACUCACAUGGCAUCAUCUCGCUCUACACCGCCAGUCUUUGGUGCCACGGCAAGAGGUGGGGCCCCGGUGGAUGGGUGUGCAGGAGGGCGGGGUGGUUUGGCGGUAGGGAUGGGAGUGCGGAAGUGGACGACAAGGUCAAGCUUGCAGGAGGUGUUGUUUGCGGUAACAGCUGGAUGGUGGCAUGUUUUGUCGUUGUAAUAUGGGACAAGCAGCAUGAGGAUGCGUUGUCGAGGAUCAAGUUCACGAGCAUGCCAUCAGGUGAGUUGAACAAGAAAGGCCGUUAGUAAGGGCGUGCUAUGGCUGCUGCAAGUUGUUUCGGGUUAAGGAGGAGGGUGGCAUCCCUGGCCACUGGCGAUCCACCGGGUCACCUGCGCAAGGUAGGCGGUGGCGAGCUCCUUGUUGUUGGGGGGGGGCGGGUGGCACAGCCGCACAGCCGGUUUGGUGGUUGGAUGACGGUGGCAGUGCCGGGCCAGUUCCUGAUACCUUCCGUACUCGUGAUGAGCCGUGUGUGACAUCCGUACUCGUGAUGUUCGGUGUUUGUGUCAUAGCCUUGGGCAAACCUAACUGAGCAUUUACGUGGUUUCGAGUCCAACUCGGACACCUGCAAUUCAUCUGUGAUCUGUCAGCUGAGAGCACGCACAUGACGGACGCGGGUCUGCUGCACGUGGCGUACGGCUGCCCCGCCCUGCACAGCCUGCGCUUCAGCGCCACGGGCAUCGCCGAUUGGGGCGUGCGCCGACCGGUGGUGCUGGCAGGGCCUCUGCCCGGUGUUCGCGUCGUGGUCGCAGCAGCAGGGGCAGAAGGCUGGAGGGGCGGCGUUAAGGCGGCAGGCGCUGUGGGUGCCGAGGCACGGGCGGCUUGCAACCAGAUGGCAGCGCGCUGUUGGUUGGGACGUUGGGUUGCACUUGGGGGUGCGCUGGGUGAUAACUUUGUUGCAGGAACGGUGGUAGGCGCCUGGCGUGCGGUAUCCCGCGAGCAGCGGGUGCGCCGCGACGCGUUGACCACUCAGCCUGGCUGCGCACGCUAUGGUCAACUCGGCAUGGGGCCGUUCGACAGAGGCCAGCACACAUGCCGACGUGUAUCCGCUGUCCCCUCCCAGCUGUCCCUUCCAGUAGUCCCUUCCAGUUGUCCCUUCCAGCUGUCCCACACCAACUGUCCCACCCCAGCUGUCCCUUCGGCUCCCUUCUCAAAACGCAGCUUUCAGCAAAAUCUACAGCCUGCCCGACUCCCAGCGUGUGCGACCUUCCGCCCGCCUUCCAAAACGCAACAGCCCCCGCCUCUCCUCGCCAGCCGCUCACAGCCGAAACUCUGCUUCUUUCUUUAUCAGCCACAAACAUCAGCCACAAACAAGGCCUCGGAAACAACGCCUCGGAAACUUCCUCCCAACUAGUGCGCGGCCACAGCUCCCCUACCGAACGUCGCAGCACCUAUCCUCACCAUCAGCAACGCUUCCUCACCUCCGGUUGUGUUGUUGGCGUGUUGCACCGCAUUCGGCCUGCCCGCCACAAUUGUCGUACACAUUCGGGCCCCUCUUCUGCUUUGCUUCGCCUUGUUCCUGCCCCUGUUUGUCACACUGUCGCCCGGCCAUUGUUUUGCUGCACGCCGUUGCAUUACGCUAGUGCUCGUCUACACAGCUCAUCCGUGGACGCCGGUCGACUGCCUGCAGGUGCGCAUCGGCUAUGCUAUCCGCGCGGUGUGGCGUCGCAUUGAGUCUGUGUGGUGCUAUCGCCUUGGCCGGGCGCCCGGAGCGUGAGGAAUGCGCGUCAGCAAAACAUCGACACAACCUGCCAGCUACCGUCGGUACAGUAACAGCGCGCGAACGACGCACCAAUGCCUUGUCCCUUCUUGCUACGCAUUUAUGUGGGCACGGGUGGGAGCCACACACAUCGGGACUACGCUUUCCUGCCCCUUGCCAUGUUCCAUCACAUGCCGACGUGUAGCAGUUUGGACUUUAUUAAUAGGUUGCACUGUUGACGUGAGCUCAAGCUUUCCGCUUAGAAGAGUAGUUGCUAGCAGUGCUAGUGAAGCUGCGUAUACUGUAACUUUCCUGAAGUCGUCAAUUUUUUCUACGCUGCAUACGCACCCUCAUGAUAAUCCUGGUUGUCAUAGAACAUGCCACCUAGACGGGCUCGAGUCCCUGCAACUCUCGAGAGCCGCAUCAAGCAAGGUCUGCAAUACUUUGCUGGCCUGCGCGAGGACGAGGCAGCAGAUGUUGCCCGUGCAAAGGACCUGGGCGAUGCACUCCUUGAAGCUGACAUGAACAUUAUCAGCAAUACCGGGAUUUUGAGCGGCAUCGUGGCUGCGCAUGCCUGGGCCGCGCGUGCGCUUGCCGUUGACGUUCUGAACGACUCGGCUUACGUCGCUUUUGUAGCGACCGCAACUAAUCUAGGAGAACUGCUCAGCAGCCAGCCGGGCGACCAAGCUUACGGCAGGCAGGACCGGUUGGUCCGAGCCCUGCUGAGGGCGGACACGCUCGCCGUGCACGCGAGGCUGUGUGUACGGACGCUCGCGCCCACCCGCGGGGCCGCCGCCCGCCGCAGCCUCCGGCCACCGGAUGCAAUCAAGCGGGAUCUGGUAUGGCGUGUCCUCCAGAACCUCUCCACGAUUGCCCGAUUUGUGAACAACAGCCGGGAUGCUGGCCUCAAGCACGAGCUGGUGACGGCGCUGGCGCACACGCAGCUGCUCGAGCACGCCGCGCGGGCGCUGCUAAGCGCCGCCCAGGCCAUUCAGCCCGCAUCCAGCGAAGGAACUUCAGGGGCGGCUGCAGCUUCGGGAACGGGGCUUCCACCUGAGAGCUGGAUAACCGUGUCGGGCGUAGCAACCACAUUUGCCCACGCGCUUUCGUGCCUGGUGGGCACAGACCUGCGCACUACCGCGCUGUGCCCACGACCCCGCGAACGGGACGCAUCUGUGGAGGUGUCGCAGAAUUCGAGGCAGCUACAACUGCUGGAGCAGCUGCGGCCGCUGCUGGCCAGCCGCUGCGUGCAGCUCUGCACGGGAUGGGCGGGCCUGUGUGCGGCCAUUACCGUACGGCAGCGGGCAGCGGACGACAGCGCUCAGCAGGGCUUGGUACCAACUGCGUCGCAGCUGUGGCACGGGCUGCCGUCGGAGCUGAUACGGCCGCUGCAGCUGCCGCCGCAGGCCACUGUGUCAAGCCAGGAUAUGGUGCGCACAGCGACCCUGGUACGUAUACGGUACUCGACCGCCGAUGCGCAAGAUGGGCUGCUGCGUUAGUUGACGGGGAGCUUGACGGGGAUAUAAGUGCAUGAACUGCAAUGCUCCCGGCGGGGCUCUCCGGUAUACAAUCUAGUGUUGGCAUUACAGGAACUUAGCGUUGACAUUAGCUCGCCAUUUGCUCGCCGCCUUGCAGGCACUGCCUAUGGUCCUGCAGGUGACGGUCAGCGGCCCCUGCGACCUGGCCAUCGCCCAGCCGCCCGUGGGCUACGACCGCCUGCCGCACAGGCAGCCACAGCCGCAGCGACCAUCGGCGGGGCCAUCAGCAGCGGGGUCAGCAGCAGCGGAGGGGCCGGCUGCAGCACCAGCACCAGCUUCGUACAGCGCCGUAAACGCGUACGGGCUGCUUAAGGCAUUAUGGCACUGCCUGGCCUGUGACCGCGCCACUUACACGUGCAACCUGUGCGCAGUCGCCACGGUAAUGACCCGGCUGCUGACGGAGCUGCGGCCGCGGCAGGCGGCGGUGCUGCUGCCGAGUUGGUGGCAGCUGCUGGCGCAGGAGCCGUCCAUGCUCAUUGAGGGGUACGGGCUUGCGCAGGACGCAGGGGAGCUGCUGCGGCUGCAGUUGAAUGCGCCGCCGCCGGUCGCGUGGGCUGUUGGGGUGACGGAUGCAGCUUCCGUGGCUGCGGCGAGUGUGGACUGGCCGCCGGAAGCGGCGGAGGUGCAGGACGCGGAGGCGGCGACAGCAGCGAAGGCAGCAGCCAGCCUGGCGCGUGAGAGGGACCCCAGCUACAGCCUCCGCUGCGCGCUGGACGCGGGGCUGCUGUCAGUUAUGGAACGGUGCCUUCGCGCGCCACAGGCCUGGCGGCAGUCCAACAGCGUGAGCAAGCUGCUGUACGUCGUAAACUGCGUGCUGCGCUACUCGGGCGUGUGGCCCGCGGUGCUGGCUCGCGGUCCCGUGCAGCAGGCGGUGUCGCUGAUUGCCACGCUGGGCGCAGCAGCUCGGCUGCUGCAGGAGAAGGACACGUCACUGGACGUGAUAAGCCGUGCCUCCCAGCCUGGCAUGCAAACAACGGCAAGGUGCGGCGCCGGCGGCUACCUGUGUGCCUACCUGUCCGCAAUGCUGGAGCAGGUCGUGGACGUGCGGGCGCUGGGCGAGGGCGCACAGCAGCAGCAGCAGCGGGAGGAGCAGCAGGCAGCAGCUAUCGAUGCUACGGCCACAGCCGCAAUUUCCACCCCACUGCACCUCAACUCGGUGCUGGAGCAGGUAGUGGAUUCGAAGGACGGCAGUGUCGAGCCCUCCACGUGCUCCAUCGCCUGGAUGGCGGCGGCGGGCGGCCUGCCAGCUGCCGGCUCCACAGCGUACCGGCAGCAGCAGCUGCUCACGAGCUUCGCGGUGUACCAGUGGCUGCCCAUGCUGGCAAAGGCAACGGAGGAUGCCUUGUGGAGUAGUGAGGCGGGCGCCGAGGGCUGGCUGUCGCAGGCGCUCCUGGUGGGGCACCUGGUGAUGGAUGUGCUCUGGCGCGAGGAGCGCCCGCCAGCUGAAGCCGACGAGGGCGCUGGCUCACACAACCGACGACAGGACGCGGCGUGGUGGGAGGGCGUGACGCAGACUGGCCAGCUUGCGAAGAGCAUGCACAAUAUUAUGGACGUGCUGGCAACAGACGCCGUAAGGCCGCUGCUGCUUGAGCACUGUGAACAGUGGCAGCAGGCAGCCGUGUUGGACCUGUUGCAAUCCUAUUGGACACGCUUUGCGGGGGCGGCGCGUGUCACGAUACGUGCGUGGGCGAUACGGGCGGCCGAACAACAGCAUCAGCGGACGGAUGGAAAGCAGCAGGCUGGGCAGGCGGCGGAGGGCGGGAAGGGCAGC
This 7141-nucleotide long non-coding RNA is filed under the name Chlamydomonas reinhardtii. RNAcentral's name for it is "long non-coding RNA (CREI_LNC000642)". Lineage: Eukaryota; Viridiplantae; Chlorophyta; Chlorophyceae; Chlamydomonadales; Chlamydomonadaceae. The record is from RNAcentral.